This is a non-coding RNA of Chionomys nivalis (European snow vole), 468 nucleotides long. The record is from the annotation of a RefSeq genome assembly. NCBI's taxonomy places the organism in Eukaryota, Metazoa, Chordata, Mammalia, Rodentia, Cricetidae.
AUGGACUUAGGGCACAUAUUCGUUUUCUUUGUCCUUAUUUUAAAAGGUGGACAAUGUGAGAUGCAAUUGCUGGAGUCUGGGGGAGGCUUAGUGCAGCCUGGAAAGUCCCUGAAACUCUCCUGUGCAGCCUCUGGAUUCACCUUCAGUAGCUACUGGAUGAUUUGGGUUCGCCAUGCUCCAGGCAAGGCGCUGGAGUGGAUCACACACAUUAAUCCAGAUGGUGGUAGCACCUGGUAUAUCGAUGCUGUGAAGGGCUGGUUCACAAUCUCCAGAGACAAUGCCAAGAACACUCUGUACCUGGAAAUGAACAGUUUGAGAUCUGAGGACACAGCCAUGUAUUACUGUGCAAGAGACACAGUGAGUGAAUGUUACUGUGAGCUCAGACAAAAACACCGCUGUGGGGAACACUGGACCAGCAGGGGGCGCAGAGAGCACUUAGAGAUCUGGGUCACAGAAGAGCCUGCUUAG